AUACUCUUUUAUAAGUCAAUUUAUUGAAAACUACGAAUUCAUGAUAAAAGUUAACUAAACAAGACGCUUGAUCCACAAGAUUCUAUGAUCUUGAAAAAUCUCAACGCAUAUGAAUUAGUAUGAUCAUGACCGAGAGUAUAUCCCUAGUAUUUUUCUUACCAAAAUUCCCCUUUUCUUUAUUUCUUUUAAAUUGGGGUUUACUGUUGAUCUGAAGGGAUAACAUAAAACAGCAAACAGUGUGAAUAUUUAACAGCAAAAAGUGUGAAUAGCUAGGUAUAAAGCAAAAGGGAAAUCAAAAGCAGAUACAUAUUAAUCAAGAAAAGUACAAUUAUUAAGGGUCUAACAUAUACCAUGUGGUGUACAAAUAAACCCCUUUUCUCCUUUUCCAGAAAUUGAACAGUUAAGGUCGUAGAAUAUAGAUGAAACCGAGUUAAAGAAAGAGGGAAAUUGAGAAAUGGAAAAAGGUAAAACCUUUUCUGUGCAGCUUCAGCAGCUUUGACACGCGCUUCUUCAGAGGCCACUCUCUCUUCUUCCUUGCUCAUGCGAUUGUCUGCGCCGAAGCAACCAAAGCAACUACAAAGACCCAUUUUUUAUCUCUCUUUCUUUCUCUUCUUCUCACAGCUUCACCUUCUCUUACACUUUCAAUCUAAUCGAAUUUCGGGCAAAAUACAAACUUUAUUAUUUUCUUUAUAAAGAAACUUUUGACACCGGAAAAAUUUAAAAUAUUCACUUAAUAACCCAUUGUAAUAAUAUAUGUUAGUAUUUUAAAUUUAGAAAUAAAAUAAAUAUAAUUAAAAUAUUAAUUUAUUGAAUUAUUAGAUAGGUGUAAUAACUCUUUCGAGUAUAGUUAAUUGAUUUAAAUUUAAUUUAAAAAAGUUGGCAUGCUCGAUUGUGAUUUCAUUAUAAUAAUACAUAGAUGUAUUCGUGCUUUCCUAACAUACUUCAUAACAUAAAAAUACCUCUUUUCUUAUAAAAUUUAAUAUCUAGAAUAUUAAUAAAGAAAUUCUCCUUUUUAAUUAUAUAUACUUUUACUUUUUAAGUAACUAUUUUUUAAAUUUAAAUAAUCAAUUAUAAUAAAAAAUAAUUUUUUAAAUUUAAAUAAUUAUUCAAAUAACAAAAUUACUUGUACAAUAAAAAAAUUUAUCUACAACAUCAAUAUUUUGUCUUUAACUUUUUUUUUAAAAAAAGAACUGAAAUUAUGUUCCAAAUAAAUAAUAUACCAUGGUUGCUAAAGUUUAUAUAUCACUUAUAAACUUAAAGAUCGCCUGACAUAAUUAUUGAGGCGGUGUUUGGACUAAAACAUCGAAUGUAUGAUAUAUAUAAAUAAAUCUUAUAAUAAAGUUAUUUAAUUUUAAAAUUAAUUUUUAUGAAAAUAUUUUUAUAAUUAUUUUUUAUGAAAUAAUUUUUAUAUUUAAUAAUAUAUCUUUUAUUUUAUCUAAACCAUUAUAUAAAAAAGAUAUAACAUUUGAUAAUUUUUUAAUUAAACAAUUAUAUUUUUUAAUAAUAAAAAAUAAUUUAUUUAUUUAACAAAAUAACUAGUUAAAUAAUUUAUCUUUAUUCAAAAUAAUUUCUUUGAAAUAACAUUAUUAUGGUCAACUAUUAUAUCUAAAAUAUUUAUUAUAUUUAAGCUAUUGUCCACUUUAAAGUUUCAUCGUAAUCUUAUCUUAAAAGACACAUAGUCCUUAAAAGACGAGUAUGGUUGAAAAUUUUCACUUAGCUUGUUAAUAUUAGUAGUUGUAAUGAAAGAUGAAUAGUAGAGUAGAAGGAAAUAUAUUAGUUCUAUUGAUAAUCUUAGAGAAAAAUAAAUAUUGGAUAUAAUGUUUGAAGGGCCACACUUCACUAAUUCGUUAUAUGAUGCUUAAAGCUGGUUAAGUAAACAAGUUGAGGACUUGAAUGUUUAUAGAAAGCAAAUAGAAUUGCUGAAUUUCAUGCAAUAAAGGAGAAGAAAAUCAAACUGCCAUCUCAACUUAUCCAGUUUUCCAUUCACCACGAUUUCGUUACAAAUUGUUGCUGUAAAGAUCUUUACAUCGAACAAGGGAAACAUGCAGAGUGUAGAAUUUUGAUUGGAUCUAUCAUCAAUACUGUAACACAAGAAACAAAAACUAAUGAGACAAUUAUCCCAUCCAUAUAGAGACAUUUACAUUCUGAGAAGUAAAAAGGCACUUGAUAUUGGUCUCUACUUUAACACAAUAUAUGUUACAAUUUACAAACAAAAUACAAGUGGUUCUAAUCAACACAACAGGAAGAAAUCGGUUUAAGUUUUAAACUAAUUCGAGUGUGUUGAUAAGAUUCAGCAUAUGAGUUUGUUUUUGUAUAGUUCAGUGGCAGAUCUCUAUAUGAUAUGUUUACUCCAGGAAAAAAUGGAAUGUAUUGACUGACAAGAACCAAAUGAACGUAGUCUUGCAUUUUAAAACUAAACUAUUUCCAUAACUAAAUAAAUGGGCAAAGUAGAAUUCAUCAGAUGGAUCAUUCAUCUUACACCUAAUCAAAGUUGAUUCUACAGACUGUCUAACCUCAACCCAUUUGCCAUUGCAUUCACAAAUGGAAGAACCAAAACAUAUGAGAUAUAAUAAAAUGAGUAUGGUACAAAGUUAUUUGAAGGUUGUUAGUCAAAAAGAAUAGGCAAGAAAGCAGUGUAUUACAGGGCAUUGGGCAAUGACGUUUUUAAAGAAAUCAAAAACUAAUUCAACAAAAUAAGUGGUGUCUUGAAUCACCAAACCUUUAGAACUGGUUUGCCUUUGUUGGUGUUUGCAGAUUGCUUUGCCAUUGCUUGUUGAUGUGCACGUGCAGCUCGUCCUGGUGCAGAAAUCUCAAAUACCUGUUGUCUGCAAUUCCAAUUAACACGCACAAAUUGGUCUACAGUUACUUUACUUAUGCAGUCACUAACCCAUAAAAGAGGCAUUAUAAAUUAUAAUGUCUCUUGUUGUUUCAUCAUGCUUCACACCACCUCUAAAAAUAUACUAUAUUCCAUUAUCUAUUUGUUAACUGCAGUAAGCCUUGCACCCUUAUUGGUGAAAGAAAAAAAAAAAAAAACCUGCACCAAUUCUCUAUUAUGACUUCCACAAAUAUUUCAGAAAGUUUACUAGUAGUACCUAACAUCCAAUAAACAAUCCCCAUGGACAUUGACAUUGAAUUUUCCCAGACAAUUGUGAUAUUAGUAUAAUAUAAUGUCUCUAGUGUAUGGAAUGCAUCACAAAGAAACAUGAACAAAUCAAUGUAUGUCAUUCAAGGAUGAGAAUCAGUGAGCUAUAUAACAAAACUAAGGCCUCAGAACUAUACAACAACAAAAGUGCUAAUAACAGAUUCUCUAACACUCUAUAGAAUACUCUUUUAUAAGUCAAUUUAUUGAAAACUACGAAUUCAUGAUCAAAGUUAACUAAAUAAGGGGCUUGAUCCACAACAUUCUAUGAUAUAGCUAGGUAUAAAGCAAAAGGGAAAUCAAAAGGCAGAUACAUAUUUAAUCAAGAAAAGUACAAUGAUUAAGGGUCUAACAUACAAUGUGGUGUACAAAUAAAACCCCUUUUUCCUUUUCCAGA
Molecule: long non-coding RNA, 3536 nt
Filed under: Phaseolus vulgaris (common bean)
Lineage: Eukaryota; Viridiplantae; Streptophyta; Magnoliopsida; Fabales; Fabaceae
Description: long non-coding RNA (PVUL_LNC004809)
Source: RNAcentral